UACGGAAGGCAGCAGUGGGGAAUAUUGCACAAUGGGCGAAAGCCUGAUGCAGCUAUGCCGCGUGUAUGAAGAAGGCCUUAGGGUUGUAAAGUACUUUCAUCGGGGAGGAAAAACAAAACUAAUAAUUUUAUUUCUUGACGUUACCCGAAAAAGAAGCACCGGCUAACUCCGUGCCAGCAGCCGCGGUAAUACGGAGGGUGCUAGCGUUAAUCAGAAUUACUGGGCGUAAAGAGCACGUAGGUGGUUUUUUUAAAGUCAGAUGUGAAAUUCCCUGGGCUUAACCUAGGAACUGCAUUUUGAAACUGAAAUACUAGAGUAUCGUAGAGGGAGGUAGAAUUCUAGGUGUAGCGGUGAAAUGCGUAGAUAUCUGGAGGAUACCUGUGGCGAAAGCGGCCUCCUAAACGAAUACUGACACUGAGGUGCGAAAGCGUGGGGAGCAAACAGGGAUUAGAUACC
RNAcentral lists this ribosomal RNA (456 nucleotides) under uncultured bacterium. Its description in RNAcentral is "bacterial SSU rRNA". It matches the Rfam family "Bacterial small subunit ribosomal RNA", at positions 340 to 786 of the family's 1533-position model. The record is from RNAcentral.